RNAcentral lists this ribosomal RNA (460 nucleotides) under uncultured bacterium. RNAcentral describes it as "partial 16S ribosomal RNA". It matches the Rfam family "Bacterial small subunit ribosomal RNA", at positions 338 to 795 of the family's 1533-position model. The record is from RNAcentral.
CCUACGGGUGGCAGCAGUGAGGAAUAUUGGUCAAUGGACGAGAGUCUGAACCAGCCAAGUAGCGUGAAGGAUGAAUGUACAAUGGGUCGUAAACUUCUUUUAUAUGGGAAUAAAACAGGGUAUGCAUACCCUCUUGUAUGUACCAUAUGAAUAAGGAUCGGCUAACUCCGUGCCAGCAGCCGCGGUAAUACGGAGGAUCCGAGCGUUAUCCGGAUUUCUUGGGUUUAAAGGGAGCGUAGGUGGAUUGUUAAGUCAGUUGUGAAAGGUUGCGGCUCAACCGUAAAAUUGCAGUUGAAACUGGCAGUCUUGAGUACAGUAGAGGUGGGCGGAAUUCGUGGUGUAGCGGUGAAAUGCUUAGAUAUCACGAAGAACUCCGAUUGCGAAGGCAGCUCACUGGACUGAAACUGACACUGAUGCUCGAAAGUGUGGGUAUCAAACAGGAUUAGAUACCCUUGUAGUC